This 340-nucleotide unclassified non-coding RNA is filed under the name soil metagenome. RNAcentral describes it as "partial contains 5.8S ribosomal RNA, internal transcribed spacer 2, and large subunit ribosomal RNA". The stretch from base 1 to 121 matches the Rfam family "5.8S ribosomal RNA", at positions 35 to 154 of the family's 154-position model. The record is from RNAcentral.
GAUGAAGAACGCAGCGAAAUGCGAUAAGUAAUGCGAAUUGCAGAAUUUCCGUGAGUCAUCGAAUCUUUGAACGCACAUUGCGCCCAUUGGUAUUCCGAUGGGCAUGCCUGUUCGAGCGUCAUUUAUCAACCCUCAAGCCCGGCUUGCGGUUGGGUCCCGCCGUGGGCGACCACGGCGGACCCGAAAGGUAAUGGCGGUGCCCGUGGGGCCCUGGACGCAGCGAGCUUCUCGGCACGCGUCCCGGCGGUCCCCGGCGCCGUCUCCACCAAUCCACCACGCAGAUUGACCUCGGAUCAGGUAGGGAUACCCGCUGAACUUAAGCAUAUCAAUAAGCGGAGGA